AGUCAAAAAUCCUCUGAGCUGUGUGGGAGGGAGCGAUAUGGGAGAGACCCCCCUGGUGCUCAGGGCUCAUGUCAAGUUGUACAACCAGAAACCUUCAGAAGUCUUGGUUUUUGAAAACUUUCUCUGUUUUCAACAGCAAGAAUGGUCCUAUGAGGGGCAGGAAGCACAGGGUGGCUAAAGAGUACUCAGGUGUAUGAAAGUAACUCAAGUCUGAAGCAGACCUUGGUGUAGGAAAUCGGGGAGUCUCUGCAAAGAGAUCCUGAAGGGGCUGGAGUUGGCCAAAAAAAAAAAAAAAAAAAGACAAAUCUCUGUUGGCAAAAUCUUUUCACAGAUGUGUCAUUCAGGAGUGGUUCACAUAACUGAAGAAUGGCAAACAGAGUACUCCGUAUGAAAGGAGGAGGAAAAGCAAUCCAGGCAGCGACUGGCCUUUCACAGUCUGCAAAGCUUUAGACAAAUUGUGAAGGAAAGAAUAAUGGGAUGAAAAUAGGACUGAGUCCAAUCCAGACUUACAAAGGCACAUUGAACCUGCUUGUCUUGAUAUUUUUUUUGUUGGUAGGGGAACUGGUUUCCUCCACAAAAGAAAAAUGCAUUUCUUCUUUGGCUGGCUUUUGGUUAAGUAACAUUUGGGGGAUAUUUCAGUGGAUGAAGAGAAAUGAAUCAUCUGUGCUAAAAGACAAUGCUGAGGCACGAAGAAGGUUCUGCUGUGCUCCUGGAAAAAGAGGCUGCCAGCAGAGGGCCCCCAAAGAUGGAUAUGUAGAUCCUACAGAGGUCCUGAGAGAAGCUGCCUCCUGAUGCUUGUCAGAGCAUGCUGAGCCCCUUUUUCUGAAAGGAGAAACUGAGGCAGGGGGAGAAGAUGGUGAGUGUCAGAGCAGAAUGUGUCCUGUGAUGCAGAAGUGAAAUAUUCUCUUGCUCUUCGCAAGCAAUUGAUUUGGUUUCAUUUCCUCCUCGCAGACUCUUUUUCGAGGGCUUGGGGAAGCUUUUUGGUUUUCUCCUUUUGCACGACCAAAGGACACCGAGGUCCCACAGCAAGACAUUUAGAGCCUAAAUGUCCAAAAGCCAGUGGGGAUGUUUCAGGUGCUCAGCUCAUUGCCCCAGAACCGUCAGGGGAGAGAUGGAGACAGAGGUCACCAUGCAGCAGCCACCUCCUCCCGGCUAUAUCUGUGGGGCUGCAAGUAUGGGUGGUGGAGCAGGAGGAUCUGCUGACUUCCUCCAUCCUCAGCCAGGAUUUGGGGCUCCUCAGUACCUCACAGUGCCCUCAGUAAUGCCAGGAUGUGGCCCUUAGCCUGAUACCCAAAAUAUAGGCACUUAACCCUGCUGCAGCUUGGAUGCCUCCGUGUCCUGUGUUAACACCGACUUGCUUUUUGCUCUUAGAGGUGAAGGCGUCCCUGAACUACGUGUGUUUGUCUGUUCAUACGUCCCAAGCUUUCUAGACAGCUCCGAUCAAAAGCAGUUUAAUGCACUUCAGCCUUCGCGAGUGGAAAUUUCCUCCACCUACUUCCAGGUCCUCAGGGUUUCCAAAUGUCAAGUCGUCAACUGCAAAUGUUAUCUGAAAAUGCUUAGCAAGUUGCAGUCCGUUGGCAUCAGUCAGUCACCAAAGACAACCGGCUUGUUUUCUUGCUCUUCUCUUUAAUAUUCCCUCCCAGCAAGGCUCUGGAGACGUCAUUAGGAGCAGUGAGCUCCUCGGAGCCGGGCUAACAACCGCUGAGUAGGUUGUUUCUGCGUAAAUAAUUUGCUUCUUGGUUCCUCUCCGUGCCCUGAGCUGAGGGCGGUGGUGGCUGCUCAGCAGAGAAGG
Molecule: long non-coding RNA, 1792 nt
Filed under: Anas platyrhynchos platyrhynchos (common mallard)
Lineage: Eukaryota; Metazoa; Chordata; Aves; Anseriformes; Anatidae
Description: lncRNA (ENSAPLG00000030926.1)
Source: RNAcentral